This 939-nucleotide unclassified non-coding RNA is filed under the name Zea mays. Its description in RNAcentral is "misc RNA Zm00001eb095090". The record is from RNAcentral. Lineage: Eukaryota; Viridiplantae; Streptophyta; Magnoliopsida; Poales; Poaceae.
AUGAAGGCGGUGGAGGAGGCGAGGUCCGCGGCGGCGCCGCGGUGCCGGGUGGUGCGGAUCAUCGUGCACGACGAGGACGCCACCGACUCGUCUUCCAGCGACGACGAGGGAGAGGAGGCGGGGGAGCGCGCCGCGGCGCACCCGGCCGCGGCGCCGGCGGGGAGCGUGAAGCGCAGCCGCGUGCUGCUCCAGUCCGCUGGGUGCGGGGCGGAGGAGGACGGCGAGGGGGCCAGGUUCACGGGCGUGCGGCGGCGGCCGUGGGGCCGGUGGGCGGCGGAGAUUCGCGACCCGCUGCUCCGCCGCCGCGUCUGGCUCGGCACUUUCGACACCGCCGAGGAGGCCGCGGCGGCCUACGUCGCAGCGCGCCUCCGCAUCCGCGGGCCCAGCAACUCGCUCCCUCCGCCCGAGCACCGCCCGGCCUUGCCCCCACGUCCCCCGCCGCCACCUCAGCAGCGGGAGAAGAAGCUGCCGCUGCCGCCGCCGCCGCCGCCUCUCCUUCCGCUUCCGCCGAAGAAGCAGCAGUAUCCGCCACCGCCUCUGCUUCCGCCGAAGAAGCAGCUGUAUCCGCCACCGCUUCCCCUCCUCCCACCAAAGAAGCAGCAGCAGCAUCACCAUCACCCGUCACCGCCUCUGCCCACGCUUCCGCCGAAGAAGCGGCUGCCGUCGCCGCCUCUGCUGCGCGAAAGCAAGAAGCAGUGCGUCGCCUCCUCCCCAGCGGAGCCGCGUUUCAUGCCGCUGCCGGUGUGGGCGCUGAUGUCCGGCUCCGGGAAGCGCAAGAAGCGGUCGGGCUGUGGCGGGCGCGUCCCCGCCCUCCACACCCCCGCCGCCGAGGAGACGGGGCGCGCCUGAGAAGGCUGAGACGACUGGGACCUCCCUGCUUCUGGUAUCCAUCCCCUACCGCUUCUUGAUCAUGCCAUGCCAAUCUGAAUUGCCGCUCAA